AUACUCAAAGCUUUAUGGAUCGAUUGGCUCACUACAAAGGUGGGAUACCUAGAUUUCAGAAGCUAGCCUAUUAUCUUUGGCUGCCCCCUAUCUAUGAGAUAGAUGGGACGGCCUCACCCUCCUCUGCCUUGCGUUGUUUCUUUCUGAGCCGUGGGCUUGGUUUCUGCACCUAUUUUAACCACUCAGAGGUUGUGGAGACGGUGAAUGGUUGGGACUCAUAGUGGCCAGUUAGGCUUCGACUGCUCCAUGUAGCCUUAGAGGUGAAGGAUCUCGUUUAUCCCUCCUCUAACAAAUGAAAGGUGGCUGACGAAGUCAACAAAAUAAUUAGGGAG
RNAcentral lists this long non-coding RNA (332 nucleotides) under Manihot esculenta (cassava). RNAcentral describes it as "long non-coding RNA (MESC_LNC002676)". The record is from RNAcentral. Lineage: Eukaryota; Viridiplantae; Streptophyta; Magnoliopsida; Malpighiales; Euphorbiaceae.